This 254-nucleotide ribosomal RNA is filed under the name Lamyctes emarginatus. RNAcentral's name for it is "partial 28S ribosomal RNA". It matches the Rfam family "Eukaryotic large subunit ribosomal RNA", at positions 725 to 929 of the family's 3401-position model. The record is from RNAcentral. Lineage: Eukaryota; Metazoa; Arthropoda; Chilopoda; Lithobiomorpha; Henicopidae.
GCGGCCGCUGCCGUGGCAGGAUCCCAGGUCCCGGUGUCAAAGCAGGGAGCGGGCGCACUGCCGGCCCGUCUCGUCCGCGGCCGUCGCCCUCGGGUGGCGGUUUCGUCGGAGAGGCGGAGCAAGAGCGCACACGUUGGGACCCGAAAGAUGGUGAACUAUGCUUGAGUAGGACGAAGCCAGAGGAAACUCUGGUGGAGGUCCGUAGCGAUUCUGACGUGCAAAUCGAUCGUCAAACUUGGGUAUAGGGGCGAAAG